RNAcentral lists this ribosomal RNA (497 nucleotides) under uncultured bacterium. RNAcentral's name for it is "partial 16S ribosomal RNA". It matches the Rfam family "Bacterial small subunit ribosomal RNA", at positions 28 to 507 of the family's 1533-position model. The record is from RNAcentral.
GACGAACGCUGGCGGCGUGCUUAACACAUGCAAGUCGAACGGUGAAGCGCCUUCCUUUUUGGUCGGUGUGGAUGAGUGGCGAACGGGUGAGUAACACGUUAGUAACCUUCCCCCUUCUUCUGGAUAACCGCAUGAAAGUGUUGCUAAUGCGGGAUAUUCUGAGUCUGUCGCAUGAUUGGUCUGAGAAAGAUUUUGUUUCGGUUGUGGAUGGGCUCGCGGCGUAUUAGCUUGUUGGUGGGGUGAUGGCCUACCAAGGCGGCGACGGGUAGCCGACCUGAGAGGAGGGUGGGCCGCCACAGUGGGAAUGCGACGCGGAGACGCCUCCGGCGGGAGGCAGCAGGGAGGAAUACGGAACAGUGGGAGGAAGGACGAUGCAGCGCCGCGGGAGGAGUGAAGGAGGCCUGCGGGUUGAGAUCCUCUAUCGGGAGUGAAGAAAGCUUGCCUUAACUGUGGGCGGCUUGACGGUAGCUGGUCAAGAAGCGACGGCUAACUACGUG